This 1274-nucleotide long non-coding RNA is filed under the name Piliocolobus tephrosceles (Ugandan red Colobus). RNAcentral's name for it is "lncRNA (ENSPTEG00000013426.1)". Lineage: Eukaryota; Metazoa; Chordata; Mammalia; Primates; Cercopithecidae. The record is from RNAcentral.
UGCAUUUAGAUGUAAUAAAAUAAGUUAAUAUGAGUAUGUAAAAAAAAAAUAGAAAAAUGCAUGAAGUAUGGCAAUUGGAUUAUAACUACAUUAUGGCUAAAUCAUAUUAACAACUUUUAUGUAUACAAAUACACCCAUAUAAAUUUGGACAUUUUAAAAUGUUUAGUUUAAAUGGAGAGCUUAAAGUAAAUGCAAUAGCCAGAAUAUUAAAAAAUAACAUCUUUGGUAGGAGUAACUUGAUUAGUAUUAUGAUUAGUAUUAAUGGAUGGGUUAAUUCAAAUGUAUUAUAUGUUCUAUAAAAAAAAAAAAAAUAAAAUAAUAAAAAAAAGCAGCACUCGCCAAUCAUAAAUAAAAAAAAAAAAAAAAAAAGUAUAUACGCCAUACAUGUACAUAAAAAUGAAGUGAACAUUUAACUAAAAAAAAAUAAAAUAAAAUAAGCAGACGAAUAGAUAGAUAAAGAGCAAAAUAAAACAAAAUAAACAAUAGAAUAAAAAAGAUCAUAAUAAAAUAAAGACAUAAAAACUAGUACACUUUUUUUUUUUUUUUUAUUUUUUUUCAAUACACUUGAAAGUGCCUAAAAUGAAUAAAAAAAUUAAAUAAAAAUGAAAAAACACAUCAUAGUAUUAUUUUAUUUUGUUAUAAUUUUUAAUCUUUUUUUAAUAGUUGAUGCAGUGAACAGAAAAGACCUGCAAAGGAGUUUUAAAAAGGUAAAUAGACGAAAUGAUCCUACGGAGAAAAAGGAAAAGGUUGAAAUAAUGAAGGAUACAACAAAAUUGUCAAAUAUCGAAUUAAAAUCAUCCAAUUUCUUUAAAAUACUUGGUACGCCAGGGCUAAUGCAAAAUACAGGUGGUGUAAUGGCACAACCACCAAUUUACAGACAUGUGUAUAAUAUUCAUGAUUAUAAUGAAAACAAUGGUGCCAUUAUACCUUUUGUUCUUUUUGGUAUAUUAAUUUUCUUUGUUUUAUUUUUUAUUUUUUAUUUUAUUGUAAAAAAUCAUGUAAAGCAUAUAGAAUAUAUGAACGCUUCUGACUAAAGACGUUUAGAUAGUUCAACAUUUAUAUUUUAUGUUAACAUAUGCUACUUUUUUUUUCUUUUUUUUUCUUUUUUUUUCGAAAUGUUUUUUUUUUUUAUUUAAAAUUAAAAAAAAAAAAAAAAAAAAAUUAUUCCAUUGUUUUUACCAUUGUUUUUUUUUGUUAUGCCUUGUUAAAAAAAUAUAAAUAUUUCCAAUAACAAAAAUUUAAAACCAAUAAACGUUAGAUUAAAACAUUUUACA